Long non-coding RNA from Rosa chinensis, 585 nucleotides. RefSeq lists it as uncharacterized. NCBI's taxonomy places the organism in Eukaryota, Viridiplantae, Streptophyta, Magnoliopsida, Rosales, Rosaceae. The transcript has 6 exons. The record is from RefSeq and is a predicted model, not a curated record.
GCUAGAACAAGGGGAGCGUUGGAGCAGCAAUCUGCUAGAAAGGUCUCUGGGACUUUAUCCAGUGCAAAGCUCACUAGCAGUUUUCCUUCUCCAAAGUUGCAUGCUUCUAUAGGCACAGGUGUGCAGCGCAAAUUGGAUAUGGCUAAACAGGAUGCUAAAAAGAAUGAUAAAUACUUGAAGAGCUCUGCCAAUCAACAAAAAUAUCGGCCCCCUGGAAAGAGCAGUCCUAUGUGAUUGUGGAAUCCCUGAAGGUGGUUAGCUUGCAAGGAUUUGCAGCAAUUUUGGAGCCUAACCUCUGCAGAAUUAUUUCCCACCUACUAUCGUUCCGAACCAUCCAACUAGCAGGAAGAAUAGGACGGGGCUGAUUGUGGGGAUUGUUGUUGGUGGUGGAGUACUUUUGAUUCUAUUGUUGUUGAUUUUCUGUAUUUUUCAAAGAAGAAAAAAGGAUUAACACCAGUAAAAAUGAAGGGUACUCUUAAUGAUGGAAGAGUAAUUGCCGUGAAGCAAUUGUCUGCAGCAUCCUAGCAAGGAAAAAAUGAGUUUCUCCCUUGUUGUGUGUUCUUGCAGGCAAUGUAUUAAGCUCCC